This 418-nucleotide long non-coding RNA is filed under the name Fukomys damarensis (Damara mole-rat). RNAcentral's name for it is "lncRNA (ENSFDAG00000033530.1)". Lineage: Eukaryota; Metazoa; Chordata; Mammalia; Rodentia; Bathyergidae. The record is from RNAcentral.
UCAGCAAAGUAAUUUUCUCUCUGUUCUCUUUACAAAUUCAUAUCGAUUAAAGAAGUGUCAGGCUUGUGGAAGAGACUGCUGGACUCACGCUCUUCUACUUUCUGGUUUCAUGGCUGGGCUGGAGACGGUUUUUCUUAAGAGGGAUCUUGAAGGCCUAUUCUUAUCUUAUACAUGGAUUUGUGACUGGAACUAAUACACCCAUCUUGAGACCAUAAAAAGAAGGCUGAGAGAAUUUUGGAUACAGCUCCGAUGUUGAGCCCUUGAACAAAUAUCAACACUGAUUUUCCUCUGGACAUCUUGUCAAAUAAAAACAAUGAACAUCUAUUUAUUUUAAAAUAGCUGCAUUUGGAUUUUCUGCUACUUGCAAUUGAAAAUAUUGCUAAUUAAUAAUUUACCCAUGGACUUUAUUCAGUAGCCA